GUGGGGAAUAUUGGACAAUGGGCGAAAGCCUGAUCCAGCCAUGCCGCGUGUGUGAAGAAGGUCUUCGGAUUGUAAAGCACUUUAAGUUGGGAGGAAGGGUAGUAACCUAAUACGUUGCUACUUUGACGUUACCGACAGAAUAAGCACCGGCUAACUUCGUGCCAGCAGCCGCGGUAAUACGAAGGGUGCAAGCGUUAAUCGGAAUUACUGGGCGUAAAGCGCGCGUAGGUGGUUCAGUAAGUUGGAAGUGAAAUCCCCGGGCUCAACCUGGGAACUGCAUCCAAAACUGGCGAGCUAGAGUAGGGCAGAGGGUGGUGGAAUUUCCUGUGUAGCGGUGAAAUGCGUAGAUAUAGGAAGGAACACCAGUGGCGAAGGCGACCACCUGGGCUCAUACUGACACUGAGGUGCGAAAGCGUGGGGAGCAAACAGGAUUAGAUACCCGUGUAGUCC
Molecule: ribosomal RNA, 450 nt
Filed under: uncultured bacterium
Lineage: Bacteria
Description: partial 16S ribosomal RNA
Rfam family: Bacterial small subunit ribosomal RNA
Source: RNAcentral